GAAGAUGCGAGCGUUAUCCGGAUUUAUUGGGUUUAAAGGGAGCGUAGGCGGGCUGUUAAGUCAGCGGUAAAAUGUCAAGGCCCAACCUUGUCUUGCCGUUGAAACUGGCGGUCUUGAAUGCACACAAGGGGGAUGGAAUUCGUCGUGUAGCGGUGAAAUGCUUAGAUAUGACGAAGAACUCCGAUUGCGAAGGCAGUUCCCUGGAGUGCGAUUGACGCUGAGGCUCGAAAGUGCGGGUAUCAAAC
This 245-nucleotide ribosomal RNA is filed under the name uncultured bacterium. Its description in RNAcentral is "partial 16S ribosomal RNA". It matches the Rfam family "Bacterial small subunit ribosomal RNA", at positions 528 to 773 of the family's 1533-position model. The record is from RNAcentral.